This is a non-coding RNA of Pelecanus crispus (Dalmatian pelican), 158 nucleotides long. The record is from Rfam. Lineage: Eukaryota; Metazoa; Chordata; Aves; Pelecaniformes; Pelecanidae.
GCGUCCGCAGCUCAGCCAAGCUGUUGUUUUAAAAGAGCAAUAAAAAUGAAUUAUGACUAAACGCCUUCUCACUUAAUGGUUUUAGACGGGGAUCCCCAGCCCCGGCAAAUACGUAAGAGGAUUUUUAUUUGUGCAUGGGUUCCUGCAAUUGAUCUCUU